CACGUAGGAAUCGAGCGUUAUCCGAAUUUACUGGGCGUAAAGCGCGUGCAGGUGGUUUGCCAAGUUGGAUGUGAAAGCUCCCGGCUCAACUGGGAGAGGCCGUUCAAAACUGGUAGACUUGAGAGUGGUAGAGGAAGGUGGAAUUCCCGGUGGAGUAGUGAAAUGCGUAGAUAUCGGGAGGAACACCAGUGGCGAAGGCGGCCUUCUGGACCAUUUCUGACGCUGAGACGCGAAAGCUAGGGUAGCGAAU
RNAcentral lists this ribosomal RNA (250 nucleotides) under uncultured bacterium. Its description in RNAcentral is "partial 16S ribosomal RNA". It matches the Rfam family "Bacterial small subunit ribosomal RNA", at positions 524 to 773 of the family's 1533-position model. The record is from RNAcentral.